RNAcentral lists this ribosomal RNA (407 nucleotides) under uncultured bacterium. RNAcentral describes it as "partial 16S ribosomal RNA". It matches the Rfam family "Bacterial small subunit ribosomal RNA", at positions 28 to 526 of the family's 1533-position model. The record is from RNAcentral.
GACGAACGCUGGCGGCGUGCCUAAUACAUGCAAGUAGAACGCAGUUGCGAACGGGUGAGUAACGCGUAGGUACCUGCCUCAUCGCGGGGGAUAACUAUUGGAAACGAUAGCUAAUACCGCAUACUGUGGGAUGGACCUGCGUUGUAUUAGCUAGUUGUUGAGGUAAAGGCUCACCAAGGCGACGAUACAUAGCCGGAGUGAGAGGGUUAUCGGCCACGAUGGGACUGAGGCACUGCCCAGGCUCCUACGGGAGGCAGAAGUAGGGAAUCUUCGGCAAGGGACGGAAGUCUGACCGAGCAACGCCGCGUGAGGGUAGGAGGUUUUCGGAUUGUAAAGCUCUGUUGAUAGAGAAGCGGUACCUAACCAGAAAGGGACGGCUAACUACGUGCCAGCAGCCGCGGUAAUAC